CAGCAGCCGCGGUAAUACGGAGGGAGCUAGCGUUGUUCGGAAUCACUGGGCGUAAAGCGCACGUAGGCGGCUAUUCAAGUCAGGGGUGAAAGCCCGGGGCUCAACCCCGGAACUGCCUUUGAAACUAGAUAGCUUGAAUCCUGGAGAGGCGAGUGGAAUUCCGAGUGUAGAGGUGAAAUUCGUAGAUAUUCGGAAGAACACCAGUGGCGAAGGCGACUCGCUGGACAAGUAUUGACGCUGAGGUGCGAAAGCGUGGGGAGCAAACAGGAUUAGAUACCCCCGUAGUCCCUGUCUCUUAUAA
This 301-nucleotide ribosomal RNA is filed under the name uncultured bacterium. RNAcentral's name for it is "partial 16S ribosomal RNA". It matches the Rfam family "Bacterial small subunit ribosomal RNA", at positions 509 to 809 of the family's 1533-position model. The record is from RNAcentral.